This is a long non-coding RNA of Siniperca chuatsi (mandarin fish), 1252 nucleotides long. RefSeq lists it as uncharacterized. The record is from RefSeq and is a predicted model, not a curated record. Lineage: Eukaryota; Metazoa; Chordata; Actinopteri; Centrarchiformes; Sinipercidae. The transcript is spliced from 2 exons.
CUGAAUCUUUCCACACACAAAACAGGACAACAAGGAAAUCACCAGCCAAUUACAUCAUUCCAAACAGCUCAUUUACGUUGCAGUUUUCUCCGUAAAUGUUUUAAAAUAGUGCUGGAUUACUAACUUUUGGUCCAAACUGAUUCCUCACAGUUUGUACACUCACAGGCCACUUUAUUAACCCUUAUAGGGUCUUUGGGGACUUUUUGGACGUUUGCUAGAAUAAAAACAUGGAGUACGUUUUCAAGCCUAAGCAGCACUGCUGCUAAUUUCUCCUCUAUUGUCUUCUCAUCUCUUUCUUCUGUCUGAAAAGUAGAGAGCACUUCUUCCAGUUCUGCACCUUCAUGUUCACCUGGAAGGCUUGGGAUUUCAGGACCGUCUCUCACUGUAACUAUUCCAGGUUUAAAAUCAGAAUAAGCAAGGUGCUUUCUGUCUUUAUGCGAUUUAAAUGUCCCAUAAAUGUUUGUCGUAAGUGUACAGUCUUUGAACAUACAUGUAGCCCAGGCUAAAAAUCCAUCCAUCCAAAAAUAAUCCAAUCCAGUUUUCAGUCCAGGUUUUCCAUUUCCUCCCUUCCAACCCUCUGUAUUUAAUGUAGUGCCAGUCCAUGUUUUCCACCCUCUCUUUCCCUUGCCAUAAGACACACCCCCUUUGUUUCAAUUAGCCAAUCACAGCCCUCUGCCUCAGUAUAAAAGCUGUCCUGACUUCUCUCAGCUCAGUUGUGUGGGAGAGAAGCCAGAGGACAGCAGCUGUAGAAACCAGAAUCAUCCGGUGAUUGGGCGUUGUCGCGUGUGCUGGGCAAAACGUUUCUUACUGAACUGGCCAGGUGCCCAUUCAGGGUAUAUUGGAUGGCGAGCUAGGCUCUGGAGCACGCAACGUUCCUGUUAUCCAUCCAACACUCUUCGGUCUGGUAGGAGGCGGUACAGCCUGUCCUUUUCCUCUCCCAUCUCCUCGAGCUACGCAACCGCUGCAACAUUCAACCCCCCGGACAAUCACGCUAACGGACAUUUCAAAUCGCUCAAUAACAAACAUAUGGACUCAGACGCGGUGCGCAGCCUCGGCGUUCUUCAUCCUUAGUUGGGAGAACAGACAUUGAAUUUUCUUUCCUUCCUGCCUCAAUGAACAAUAUCUUGGACAUUUGAUUUAAUUUAAAAUUGCUUGAAGUUGAUUUUUGAUUUAUUUCUGCUGCAGUGGUUUAUGUUUAUAUUGGGUUCUGUUUAUAUUCACUUUUUGUACAAUACACUUUUCCUUAAUUCAA